This 39-nucleotide ribosomal RNA is filed under the name Curvularia spicifera. RNAcentral describes it as "partial 28S ribosomal RNA". Lineage: Eukaryota; Fungi; Ascomycota; Dothideomycetes; Pleosporales; Pleosporaceae. The record is from RNAcentral. RNAcentral also lists the same sequence under 2 other names.
GUUUGACCUCGGAUCAGGUAGGGAUACCCGCUGAACUUA